RNAcentral lists this ribosomal RNA (442 nucleotides) under uncultured bacterium. Its description in RNAcentral is "partial 16S ribosomal RNA". It matches the Rfam family "Bacterial small subunit ribosomal RNA", at positions 338 to 795 of the family's 1533-position model. The record is from RNAcentral.
CCUACGGGAGGCAGCAGUGGGGAAUAUUGGGCAAUGGACGCAAGUCUGACCCAGCAACGCCGCGUGAAGGAAGAAGGCUUUCGGGUUGUAAACCUCUUUUAAUGGGGAAGAGCAGAAGACGGUACCCCUUCAAUAAGCCACGGCUAACUACGGGCCAGCAGCCGCGGGCAUACGUAGGUGGCAAGCGUUGUCCGGAUUUACUGGGUGUAAAGGGCGUGCAGCCGGAGAGACAAGUCAGAUGUGAAAUCCACGGGCUCAACCCGUGAACUGCAGUUGAAACUGUUACCCUUGAGUGUCAGAGAGGUAAUCGGAAUGCCUGGUGUAGCGGUGAAAUGCGUAGAUAUAAGGAAGAACACCAAUGGCGAAGGCAGAUUACUGGACGAUAACUGACGCUGAGGCACGAAGGCCAGGGGAGCGAACGGGAUUAGAUACCCUGGUAGUC